RNAcentral lists this ribosomal RNA (253 nucleotides) under uncultured bacterium. Its description in RNAcentral is "partial 16S ribosomal RNA". It matches the Rfam family "Bacterial small subunit ribosomal RNA", at positions 524 to 776 of the family's 1533-position model. The record is from RNAcentral.
GACAGAGGUGCCGAGCGUUAGGCGGAAUCACUGGGCUUAAAGCGUGUGUAGGUGGAUGUCUAAGUACCUUGUGAAAUCCCACGGCUUAACCGUGGAACGGCUCGGUAUACUGGAUGUCUUGAGCCAGCUAGGGGCUACCGGAACAAAUGGUGGAGCGGUGAAAUGCGUAGAGAUGUGGAGGAAUACCGAUGGCGAAGGCAGCCCCCUGGGAUAACACUGACGCUCAUGCACGAAAGCGUGGGGAGCAAACAGG